Molecule: long non-coding RNA, 371 nt
Organism: Grus americana (Whooping crane)
Lineage: Eukaryota; Metazoa; Chordata; Aves; Gruiformes; Gruidae
Exons: 3
Source: RefSeq, a predicted model, not a curated record
AGACUGACCAUGUACAAGCUGCAGUUGUGCUGAAGGAUGCCACCCUGAAAUGGCUACUCAAGAGUCAUUACUCAAAGGUAAGUCAAUCACUGGAGAAACAGAAGAUCUUAGUCCUUCCUAUGUUUUAGUACAAAGGAGAUGAAACCCAAUGUUGCCACCUGCCAGGAGUGCCACCUAAAAACUCAAUUUACAGACUAUGCAGCAAAGGAUAUUUCAUCCAGUGGAGCUUGCUUGGUGACUCCUGAGAAAAGGCCAAGUCUUCUGGGGCAGGAGUCAAUCAGGUCCAGCGUAAAACAGCCAUAACAAAGCACAAAGGAAAACUUCCUCCCUUAGCCCCAGCAACUUCAAUUUUUAACAAACAUCAUAAUGCU